UGAAAUGUUAAAUGACCUAAAAAUGAAUGCAUGCAUGAGGGGGGCAAGUUUUGAGGUAUUACAGGGCACUGAACCAACACUUCACACCUCCAACACCUCAGAGAAACAUAAGUUUUCCCCCACUUGUUUCAAUUUUUCUCCUGCUAGCAAGUGAUUAAAAAAAACAAGCACCAGUAGUGGUUCACACACAUGUUGUAUACUAGGGAACAUACAACAUUA
RNAcentral lists this long non-coding RNA (219 nucleotides) under Lathyrus oleraceus (garden pea). Its description in RNAcentral is "Pisum sativum (pea) long non-coding RNA (PSAT_LNC003737)". The record is from RNAcentral. Lineage: Eukaryota; Viridiplantae; Streptophyta; Magnoliopsida; Fabales; Fabaceae.